GUGGAACAUCUGCCUAGUUUACCCUCAGCAAGUCCUUUGAUGACAUUUGAAAAAUAUGGAGAGGCUCUCUGCUAUUUUAGCAUCAUGCCAUUCUGGUGAGCCUCAAAAAUGUUCAGCAACAUCCUGGUCUUGUCAUCAGCAGAAAGCCUCAGAGACCACACAACCUCCAAUGCCUCAUAGAGAAAGAGGCUGUUGGUCAUCCUCUGUGCUGCCUCUGCAAUGAGCCUGCUGUCAUUCGCUCUGAUGACCCUGCCUUUUUUGAGGGCCUCUUUGUGGCAAAAGACAGUGAAGUGUCCACAUUUACCGAGACCAUCCAAAAAGCAGUGAAAAAUGCAAGUAUUAUUGAUAAUGUGACAAAAUAGCUGUAUUACUGAAAUAUUACCGAAACUGAAUUGAGAGAAACACUGGCCUAUAUAGCAGACCCAAUUGCAUUCAUUUUACUGUGUUCAGCAAACAUCACGAUAAAGAAGAGACUGUACGACCAGGUGAUGCUAACAAUGCGACUGCAAGAGGAGAAGAACAUUUUGGUGCUGGAGAUGGCACAACAUUGCACAUGGUUGCAGAAGCAGGCAGAGGAGCUUGAGAACAAGGUGGCUGAGAAUGAACAGGGCAACAAAGGACUUUGCUGUCUCUUAGGUCCUGAGGCUUCUGCCCAUCUUCAUGUUGAGGACGAGGAUCAAAGUGCCCUCAGCAGUCCAGACACUAGUGACGACGAAGAGGAUAUCACAAUUUAGAUUGAUGCUGCAGGACAGACUGUGGUGAAGGACAUGGACUUGGAUCUGCCUGCCUCCCACUCUACACCUGCCCUGCUGCUGCAAUCAAGCCACCUGGUUUCCGCCAGCUCAUUACCAAAUCUGCACUUAUGGUGCAUUCCAGACAACCUAUCUCGUUUUCUAUUUCAUAUGUGGUCAAC
Long non-coding RNA from Chelmon rostratus (copperband butterflyfish), 913 nucleotides. RefSeq lists it as uncharacterized. The record is from RefSeq and is a predicted model, not a curated record. Lineage: Eukaryota; Metazoa; Chordata; Actinopteri; Chaetodontiformes; Chaetodontidae. The transcript is spliced from 5 exons.